Molecule: transfer RNA, 29 nt
Filed under: Bolitoglossa oaxacensis
Lineage: Eukaryota; Metazoa; Chordata; Amphibia; Caudata; Plethodontidae
Description: partial tRNA-Lys
Source: RNAcentral
CAUUAAGAAGCUUUCACGUCAAGCAACAG